Molecule: ribosomal RNA, 450 nt
Filed under: uncultured bacterium
Lineage: Bacteria
Description: partial 16S ribosomal RNA
Rfam family: Bacterial small subunit ribosomal RNA
Source: RNAcentral
GUGGGGAAUCUUCCGCAAUGGACGAAAGUCUGACGGAGCGACGCCGCGUGAGUGAAGAAGGCCUUCGGGUCGUAAAGCUCUGUCAUCAGGGGCGAAUGGCCGGUGGAGUGGAAAGCCACCGGAUUGACGGUACCUGAGAAGGAAGCCACGGCUAACUACGUGCCAGCAGCCGCGGUAAUACGUAGGUGGCAAGCGUUGUCCGGAAUUAUUGGGCGUAAAGCGCGCGCAGGUGGGAUCUUAAGUCCAUUUUGAAAGUUCGGGGCUCAACUCCGUGAUGGGAUGGGAACUGGGAUUCUUGAGUACCGGAGAGGAAAGCGGAAUUCCCCGUGUAGCGGUGAAAUGCGUAGAUAUGGGGAGGAACACCAGUGGCGAAGGCGGCUUUCUGGACGGUGUCUGACACUGAGGCGCGAAAGCCAGGGGAGCGAACGGGAUUAGAAACCCGGGUAGUCC